ACAAAAUGCAACGCAUUUUGAGCGUUGGCAUAGCCAACGCCCCCGAAAAGGGUGAGCAAGUCAGCUAUGCUGAGUUGCGAAUAAACAA
Molecule: non-coding RNA, 88 nt
Filed under: Aggregatibacter kilianii
Lineage: Bacteria; Pseudomonadati; Pseudomonadota; Gammaproteobacteria; Pasteurellales; Pasteurellaceae
Description: Aggregatibacter sRNA 22
Rfam family: Aggregatibacter sRNA 22
Source: RNAcentral